This is a non-coding RNA of Microcebus murinus (gray mouse lemur), 2987 nucleotides long. The record is from RefSeq and is a predicted model, not a curated record. NCBI's taxonomy places the organism in Eukaryota, Metazoa, Chordata, Mammalia, Primates, Cheirogaleidae.
GCAACAACCAGUCCAGGAAGGAGGGUCUGCUGACCACUGCGGUGCUGGCUCAGAAGUCGCCAAUGAGUGGAGAGCAGCGGGACGCGCCUAAAGCCCACAGCACUGGUAGUCAGAAAAAAUUCUAGGUGUCCUGACCUCACUUACCAGCGAUUACAAAUUUUCAGCAAUUCUACAAAUCCAGAGCUUCCGAAUCCUGAUCAAGCAUGUCUGGAGUCUCCCACACCACGUUAUCCUCCAGGAACUUGGCUAUGAAAGGAGGAGGAACUUGCGAGAUAAUCAGACAUCUGUACCUUUCUGUGACGCCUGCUCUUUCUGGCUUAUCCUCCUUGGCCACCAGCCUGAUGCUGAAUGUGAUACUCCACAUUCCCGGACCAACACAAGGCUCUUCUGGCUGCCUGGCUGGCAGGGAGGUUCUUCCAUGCCUUUUGACCAGCUCCUUCAGAAGGAGUUUUCCACGUCAGAUGGUCAGGUUCCCAGAAACAGAGGUCCUUCUUUUCCUUCCUGCCUCUGGUGUCUCCUUCUCAGACAAGAGAGGGCUCCAAGGGUGGAGAGGUGCUGCGGCAGGCAACGGCCAGGGCAGCUUCACGCUCUUCUUGGAAUAGCCUUUCCACGGAUGUCCGGGCUCUGGCACUUUCCUCCAGCCACACUUCCUAGUUGUCUCCUUUCUGUUCAGUUCAUGGGUCAAAUCCCAAGUGUGCUCAGGAUUCAUGUUUUCUCUUUCAGACUGGCUCCCAGAUUUUUCCAAGAGAGAGAGGCUGAGUGGAGUGUCCCUCCCAUCUAUCUGCACGUUCCGUGGCAGUUGGGCAGUUGGGCAGCUUGAUGGCAGGUUGGGGCUGGUCCAGGGGGCAGUGUGACCUGGUGCCCAAAAAGGACUCACAGCCUCUGUCUGACCCCUACACAGAUACCACUACAUAUCGUGCAAAUACUACUCCCAAGUUUCAUUCUGGUGUUUAGCAACAUACAUUAGGUCCUUUUAUUGUAUAAUCAAAUUUAGGAGUUUUUUUUUUUUUUACCACUCACAAUUUGUUCCAUUAUCAUUUUACAUUCACAGUGUCCCAGUAAUCUAAACUAUAACGCUCAGAGGAAAGAGACUUCCUCUGAAAACCUUCAAAUGGGAUAAUAAAAUUUCCCUACUAGUUAUUAUAAAGUUUGUCAAGUCACACUAUUUAAAACAGUCUGGCUUUAGCAAAUACUCAGACAAAUGCAUCAAGUGACAAUAGGAAAUCAUGAAACAUACCUUCUAUCACCAUGCAAUAUGUGAGUUAAAAAAAAUUUGCAUGCUAGAGAGGAGGAAUCCUAUCAUUCCAUCAAUAGUUCUAGAAAAAUCGGAUAUUUGGAUAAAAUAUAAAGGCAGAGCUUCAUGUAACUAUUAAUUCAGCUGUAUAGUCAUGUUAACGUAAUUUCAGGCAGGCCAAUUUUCCUUACAGUGCCAGACACUAUUCUAGGUAGUGAGGUUGUAUCUGUGAAAUAUAAAGACAAGGACCCUGACUUAUUCUAAUGAGGAUAAACUUACACUAAACAAAUGAAUAAAUAAAACAAUUUUUAAAAAUCUCAGAAUCUAAACCCUAUGAGGGAAAUAAAGAGAGUGAUGAGCUACGGAAGAAAUGGGGAGAAGGUAGAGUGACUUCUGACAGGGUGGUCUAGGAAGAUGGGAUCUGACCAGAGGCUGCAAGAGUGAUCUCUUCAGCUAAGACAUGGGAAGGGGCAAGGUGUCCAUCGAUGACAGUGGGGAGGAGCUGGGAUAUUGCAGGAGGAAGGAGGAAGGGCCUGGAGGAGGCAACAGAGAGCAAGGAGAACACUCCUACUGUGCCCUAGUCCUGCAGGGUAGGGGAGGAAUAGAAGGAGAUAAAUGGCCUCCAACUGGGAGAAUUCUGGAGAAAUGCGAUUCUCUGGGGAGAGCAAGGCUUCGGUAAAGGCAAAGUCAUGAAAGGUUGGAGGAGGAUUUGCUGUUUCCAUGCGAGGGGGUCUAAAGUGGGCAGUGGAGGCUUUGCAGGGUCAGGGUGGGGAGUGCAAAGCAGGAGCAUGGGAGGUGUCCCGAGCAGGAAGGGGAUGGAAGUUCAGGUGGUUCCUGAGCUUAACAGGACACCUUAACUCUGACCACCUGCUGGGGGAAUAGUCUGUGACUUUGAGAGAGGGCACUGGGCUCAUUUUUCACACUUGCCACUGGCUCAUUCAUGCAGAAUUAACCAUAGAUUUGCCGUAGGAUCCAGAAAUUCUACUUAUGGGUAUGUACCCCCAAAAUUAAAAGAAGUGACUAGAACACACAUUUAUAUACUCAUGUUCAUAGCAGCAUUAGCACAGCAGCCAAAAGGUGCAAGCUAAACAAGUAUCCAUCAAUGAAUGCAUGCAUACGUGAAAUUUGGUAUAUAUACAUACAGUAGAAUAUUACUCAACCUUAACAAGGAGGAAAUUCUGACACAUGCUACAACAUGGAUGAAACUUACAGGCCUAUUGAGUUAAGUAAGCCAGUCAUGGAAGACAAAUAUUGUAUGACCCCACAUAUAUAAGGUUCCUAGAAUAAGUAGUCAAAUUCUCAGAGACAGAAAGUAACAUGGUGGUUACCAUGGCUUUGGGGAGAGGGUAAUAUGUUAGUGUAAGGUGGGUACUGAACUUCAGUUUGGGAAGAUAAAGAGUUCUGGAGAUAGAUGGUGGUGAUAGUUGCACAUCAAUGAAUGCACCUAAUGCCACUGAAUUGCUCACUUAAAAACAGUUAAAAUAGCACAAUUUAUGUUAUGUACAUUUAACCACAAUUUAACAAAAUGCUUCAUAUUGCCCCACAUUAGGAGGCACAAGAUGACGGGCUGAUGCAUUAUUCAUGAUACCAGCAACCAGCUUUCUCCAUCACAAAGUUACCUUUUUCCCUUUACCAUUAGGAGAUAUCUGUGUGUCAUUAUUUUUUUAGCAUCAUCAACUUUCCAUUUAAUGAUUUUAGCAUUCAUUGAUGAUCCUUGCCCGAAUCAAAUAUCUAUCAGGAGCUAGUCAAUGGG